AUUUUAUGAGAUCAAGGAAGGGCAGAGGAGAGAGUGGGGAACAAGUCUAAAGUACACCUCUACUAAGGAGCAGAGCUGGAUUUGAAUUCAGGUUUGCCAGAUU
This is a long non-coding RNA of Sapajus apella (tufted capuchin), 103 nucleotides long. RefSeq lists it as uncharacterized. Lineage: Eukaryota; Metazoa; Chordata; Mammalia; Primates; Cebidae. The record is from RefSeq and is a predicted model, not a curated record. The transcript is spliced from 4 exons.